GGAAACUGCCUGCAAAUUCAGGUAGCUUUUUUGAUUCUUACUUUCAGAGAAAUGCCAGCAAAAGCUCUAGUCAUUUGGGGAAGAACAAGCCUGGAAGAAAAGUACACAGCAGACCAGCACCAAGAGGAUGAAUAGGAUGUGUGCCCAAGAUCACAGCUAAAAAGAACAAAGCCGCGAUUGAAACUUAGUUGAUGUCAUAUCAGAGCCUACAUUCUUUCUUCUGACCCUGAGGGCUCACCGUCUGCAGCUUCCUGGCGAUAGCAGUGGAGUCCUGCUGCUGCUCAGUGGCAGUCGAUACUGUUUACCACCCAUUCAAUGAACACACAAACUCAAGUGGAGAGGAAAGGCAUGCUGGUACCAAGAAGACAGUCAGACCACAGCCAGCAAACACCCAUUGGCUAUGGUUUCCUCCACCAAUGGUACCAUGUAGCCAAAAUGAGAAGCUAAUGCUUGUGACAGGUGUAGCAAAGAGAGAAGAGGAACAGCUUCAAUGGCCCCAGAGGAGUUCAGAGCAGAGAACAGAGCAGCAUUCUUUGGAACCAAGUUCUCCCAUAGAUCACCACAGCAUUGGAAUCCCACCACCUGUUGUUAAAGUCUGCUCGAGCAAUAGAAUCUCUCAGCAAAGAAGAGUGGUCUGCACCCAUCAGCAUCUGCUGAGACAGCAGAGGAGAGCAGUAUCAAUGGUCUAUCAGUUUGGAAUGCUGACU
Molecule: long non-coding RNA, 707 nt
Organism: Phyllostomus hastatus (greater spear-nosed bat)
Lineage: Eukaryota; Metazoa; Chordata; Mammalia; Chiroptera; Phyllostomidae
Exons: 5
Source: RefSeq, a predicted model, not a curated record